RNAcentral lists this long non-coding RNA (831 nucleotides) under Salmo salar (Atlantic salmon). RNAcentral describes it as "lncRNA (ENSSSAG00000113020.1)". Lineage: Eukaryota; Metazoa; Chordata; Actinopteri; Salmoniformes; Salmonidae. The record is from RNAcentral.
GUGUUGAUACACUAACUACCUGGCUGUAGGUGAUGAUACACUAGGAACCUGGCUGUAGGUGUUGAUACACUAGGAACCUGGCUGUAGGUGUUGAUACACUAGCUACCUGGCUGUAGGUGAUGAUACACUAGGAACCUGGCUGUAGGUGUUGAUACACUAGGAACCUGGCUGUAGGUGUUGAUACACUAGGAACCUGGCUGUAGGUGAUGAUACACUAGGAACCUGGCUGUAGGUGUUGAUACACUAGGAACCUGGCUGUAGGUGUUGAUACACUAGGAACCUGGCUGUAGGUGUUGAUACACUAGCUACCUGGCUGUAGGUGAUGAUACACUAGGAACCUGGCUGUAGGUGUUGAUACACUAGGAACCGGGCUGUAGGUGAUGAUACACUAGGAACCUGGCUGUAGGUGAUGAUACACUAGGAACCUGGCUGUAGGUGUUGAUACACUAGGAACCUGGCUGUAGUUGAUGUGAUACACUAGGAACCUGGCUGUAGGUGUUGAUACACUAGGAACCUGGCUGUAGUUGAUGUGAUACACUAGGAACCUGGCUGUAGGUGAUGAUACACUAGGAACCUGGCUGUAGGUGUUGAUGCAGUAGGAACCUGGCUGUAGGUGAUGAUACACUAGGAACUUGGCUGUAGGUGUUGAUGCAGUAGGAACCUGGCUGUAGUUGAUGUGAUACACUAGAAUCCUGGCUGUGGGUGAAGAUACAUUUCAGUACCAGUCAAAAGUUUGGAUACACCUACUCAUUCAAGGGUUUUCCUUGAUUUUUUUACUAUUUUCUGUAUUGUAGAAUAAUAGUGAAGACAUCAACACUGUGAAAUAACACA